Molecule: ribosomal RNA, 533 nt
Filed under: uncultured bacterium
Lineage: Bacteria
Description: bacterial SSU rRNA
Rfam family: Bacterial small subunit ribosomal RNA
Source: RNAcentral
GGCCUUGACAUACUAAGAACUUUCCAGAGAUGGAUUGGUGCCUUCGGGAACUUAGAUACAGGUGCUGCAUGGCUGUCGUCAGCUCGUGUCGUGAGAUUGUUGGGUUAAGUCCCGNAACGAGCGCAACCCUUUUCCUAUUUGCCAGCGGGUCAUGCCGGGAACUUUAAGGAUACUGCCAGUGACAAACUGGAGGAAGGCGGGGACGACGUCAAGUCAUCAUGGCCCUUACGGCCAGGGCUACACACGUGCUACAAUGGUCGGUACAAAGGGUUGCUACCUCGCGAGAGGAUGCUAAUCUCAAAAAGCCGAUCGUAGUCCGGAUCGCAGUCUGCAACUCGACUGCGUGAAGUCGGAAUCGCUAGUAAUCGCGGAUCAGAAUGCCGCGGUGAAUACGUUCCCGGGCCUUGUACACACCGCCCGUCACACCAUGGGAGUUUGUUGCACCAGAAGUAGGUAGUCUAACCGCAAGGAGGACGCUUACCACGGUGUGGCCGAUGACUGGGGUGAAGUCGUAACAAGGUAGGCGUAGAUGA